AUGGCGGCCGGAGGAUUAAUGGAGCAGGACGUAAGCAAGCUUGACGUCGCAAAGCUCCACCCAUUGUCACCUCAAGUUAUCUCACGCCAAGCCACCAUCAACAUUGGUACAGUUGGUCAUGUGGCCCACGGGAAGUCUACCGUUGUGAAAGCUAUAACCGGAGUUCAGACUGUUCGCUUCAAGAAUGAGCUUGAACGUAACAUCACUAUCAAGCUGGGUUAUGCUAAUGCAAAAAUCUAUAAAUGCGAGGACGACAGAUGUCCACGACCAGUGUGCUACAAGGCUUAUGGAAGCGGAAAACAAGAUUCUCCAGCCUGUGAUGUUCCUGGGUUUGAAAACACUAGGGUGAAGCUUCUGAGACAUGUUUCCUUUGUUGAUUGUCCGGGUCACGACAUUCUCAUGGCCACAAUGCUUAAUGGAGCAACUAUCAUGGAUGGAGCCUUGCUUUUGAUAGCAGCAAAUGAGAGCUGCCCACAACCUCAGACAUCCGAGCAUCUGGCGGCUCUUGCGGGUCUCAAACACCUCAUAAUUCUACAGAAUAAGAUUGAUGUUAUCCAGGAGAGUGCAGCAAUGAACCAGCAUGAAGCAAUCCAAAAAUUCAUCUACGGCACGAAAGCUGAAGGUGCUCCUGUGGUGCCAAUAUCUGCCCAGCUCAAGUACAACAUUGAUGUCAUCUGUGAAUAUAUUGUGAAGAAAAUCCCUAUUCCUGAGAGGAGCUUCACAUCACCUCCCAACAUGAUUGUCGUUCGCUCCUUCGAUGUCAACAAGCCUGGUUCAGAGGUUGAUGAGAUCAGGGGUGGGGUGGCAGGUGGCACCAUCCUCAGGGGAGUCCUCAGGGUGAACCAGAAUAUCGAAGUUCGCCCUGGCAUGGUCAUGAAGGAUUCGAGUGGCAAAAUCAAAUGUUGCCCAAUCUACUCGAGGAUCGUCUCGCUCUACGCCGAGCAGAAUGAACUCCAAUUUGCUGUGCCAGGAGGGCUUAUUGGUGUGGGAACGGCCAUGGAUCCGACUUUGAGUCGUGCAGAUAGGCUGACUGGCCAGGUCCUGGGAGAAAUCGGGUCGCUCCCUGAUGUGUUCGCGGAGCUUGAGAUCAACUUCUUCCUUCUCCCAAGACUUCUGGGUGUGAGAACCAAGGGUGCAGAGAAGGCGGGGAAGGUCGCCAAGCUCAGCAAGCGUGAGAUCCUGAUGCUUAACAUAGGGUCUAUGUCGACUGGCGCCCGCGUGGUCGCUGUUAAGGGCGAUCUCGCCAAGCUUGAGCUCACCACCCCUGUCUGCACAAGCAUAGGCGAGAAGGUCGCCCUGAGCCGUCGUGUCGACAAGCAUUGGCGCCUCAUCGGAUGGGGCCAGAUCCAAGCUGGUGCAACGCUUGAAAUCCCUCCCUGCCCGCUGUAA
Molecule: ribosomal RNA, 1389 nt
Filed under: Triticum aestivum (bread wheat)
Lineage: Eukaryota; Viridiplantae; Streptophyta; Magnoliopsida; Poales; Poaceae
Description: partial small subunit ribosomal RNA
Source: RNAcentral